GUGGGGGAUAUUGCACAAUGGGGGGAACCCUGAUGCAGCGACGCCGCGUGGGUGAAGAAGCGCCUCGGCGCGUAAAGCCCUGUCAGCAGGGAAGAAAAUGACGGUACCUGAAGAAGAAGCCCCGGCUAACUACGUGCC
This 138-nucleotide ribosomal RNA is filed under the name uncultured bacterium. RNAcentral's name for it is "partial 16S ribosomal RNA". It matches the Rfam family "Bacterial small subunit ribosomal RNA", at positions 354 to 509 of the family's 1533-position model. The record is from RNAcentral.